This 403-nucleotide ribosomal RNA is filed under the name uncultured Acetobacterium sp. RNAcentral describes it as "bacterial SSU rRNA". It matches the Rfam family "Bacterial small subunit ribosomal RNA", at positions 379 to 774 of the family's 1533-position model. The record is from RNAcentral. Lineage: Bacteria; Bacillati; Bacillota; Clostridia; Eubacteriales; Eubacteriaceae.
AAGCCUGAUCCAGCCAUACCGCGUGGGUGAAGAAGGCCUUCGGGUUGUAAAGCCCUUUUGUUGGGAAAGAAAUCCAGCUGGCUAAUACCCGGUUGGGAUGACGGUACCCAAAGAAUAAGCACCGGCUAACUUCGUGCCAGCAGCCGCGGUAAUACGUAGGGGACAAGCGUUGUCCGGAUUUACUGGGCGUAAAGGGCACGCAGGCGGUUUUUUAAGUCAGAUGUGAAAGGUACCGGCUCAACCGGUGACAUGCAUUUGAAACUGAAAGACUUGAGUAUUGGAGAGGCAAGUGGAAUUCCUAGUGUAGCGGUGAAAUGCGUAGAUAUUAGGAGGAACACCGGUGGCGAAGGCGGCUUGCUGGACAAAUACUGACGCUGAGGUGCGAAAGCGUGGGGAGCAAACA